GUCUCCUCUAACCCGGUAUCAGUUCUCGGCGAUGCUGAAGAGAGCAUUGGUUGCGAGUGGCAUGGAUGGUCACGGGUUUUCGGCCCAUUCCUUUCGGAUCGGGGCGGCUACCCAGGCGAGUGUAUUGGGGUACUCGGCUGCGGGAAUUCAACGGAUUGGAAGAUGGGGGUCGGGGCGUUUUAAGUCUUAUGUCCGACCUCAUAUGCUGUAACCCUCUUCUCGUUGUAGGUGGUCGGCCCCGGUACGUGUGGAUUAUAGGGCAUUCCUAUGUGUACUGGGCAGCUAGGCGAGCUGAAGGCCGGGCCUAUGGACGGAAUUUGGGGUUUUUGUUGGACGUGGCCAGAGUCAGGUGGAAGGGC
Pelobates cultripes (western spadefoot toad) is the source of this 359-nucleotide non-coding RNA. The record is from the annotation of a GenBank genome assembly. NCBI's taxonomy places the organism in Eukaryota, Metazoa, Chordata, Amphibia, Anura, Pelobatidae.